This 380-nucleotide ribosomal RNA is filed under the name uncultured eukaryote. RNAcentral describes it as "partial 18S ribosomal RNA". It matches the Rfam family "Eukaryotic small subunit ribosomal RNA", at positions 592 to 976 of the family's 1831-position model. The record is from RNAcentral.
CAAUAGCGUAUAUUAAAGUUGUUGCGGUUAAAAAGCUCGUAGUUGGAUUUCUGCUGAGGAUGACCGGUCCGCCCUCCGGGUGAGUAUCUGGCUCAGCCUUGGCAUCUUCCUGAAGAACGUAACUGCACUUGACUGUGUGGUGCGGUAUUUAGGACAUUUACUUUGAGGAAAUUAGAGUGUUUCAAGCAAGCGCACGCCUUGAAUACAUUAGCAUGGAAUAAUAAGAUAGGACCUCGGUUCUAUUUUGUUGGUUUCUAGAGCUGAGGUAAUGAUUGAUAGGGAUAGUUGGGGGCAUUCGUAUUUAACUGUCAGAGGUGAAAUUCUUGGAUUUGUUAGAGACGGACUACUGCGAAAGCAUUUGCCAAGGAUGUUUUCAUUGA